This 890-nucleotide ribosomal RNA is filed under the name Fidelibacterota bacterium. RNAcentral's name for it is "partial 23S ribosomal RNA". It matches the Rfam family "Bacterial large subunit ribosomal RNA", at positions 1563 to 2453 of the family's 2925-position model. The record is from RNAcentral. Lineage: Bacteria; Pseudomonadati; Fidelibacterota.
GUGCGAACCAUGAGGUUAGCCUCACGGAACGUCGCCGAUUCUACGCCGCCUAGAAAAGCCCCGUUAGUGAGAAUUUGAGACGUCCGUACCGCAAACCGACACAGGUAUGUAGGGGUAAGUGUCCCCAGGUGAACGAGCGAACCCUCGUUAAGGAAUUCGACAACUUGACCCUGUAACUUUGGGAGAAAGGGUGCCCGCGGGGUGAAACCCACUUGCUGGGUGGAUGCCCCUGCGGGUCGCAGUGAAGAGGCCCAGGCGACUGUUUAUCAAAAACACAGGUCCGUGCUAAACCGAAAGGUGAUGUAUACGGGCUGACGCCUGCCCAGUGCCGGUAGGUUAAGGAAGGCGGUGAGAGCUGCCGACUGAAGCCCCGGUGAACGGCGGCCGUAACUAUAACGGUCCUAAGGUAGCGAAAUCCCUUGUCGGGUAAGUUCCGACCCGCACGAAUGGCGUAACGACUUGAGCACUGUCUCAACGAGGGACUCGGUGAAAUUGCAGGACCCGUGAAGAUGCGGGUUACGCGCAGCAGGACAAAAAGACCCCGUGGAGCUUUACUGCAGCUUGACAUUGGUUCGAGCUUUAACCUGUGUAGGAUAGGCGGGAGACUAUGAAUUAGAUGCGCCAGCAUUUAAGGAGUCGCCCUUGAAAUACCGCCCUGAUUACAGUUUGAAUCUAACUUUUACUAGAACAGUGUCUGGUGGGCAGUUUGACUGGGGCGGUCGCCUCCCAAAGAGUAACGGAGGCGCACAAAGGUCACCUCAGGCUGGAUGGAAAUCAGCCUUAGAGCGUAUUGGUAUAAGGUGGCUUGACUGCGAGACAUACAAGUCGAGCAGGGACGAAAGUCGGUCAAAAUGAUCCCACGGUACCGUGUGGAAGGGCCGUGGCUUAAC